UCCCUGGUAGUCCAAUGGUUACAACUUGGCACUUUUACUGCCAAGAGUCCAGGUUCAAUCCCUGGUCAGGGAA
This is a non-coding RNA of Hippopotamus amphibius kiboko, 73 nucleotides long. NCBI's taxonomy places the organism in Eukaryota, Metazoa, Chordata, Mammalia, Artiodactyla, Hippopotamidae. The record is from the annotation of a RefSeq genome assembly.